GGAUAUGUCAUGUGAUUAUGGACAUUAUUGAAUUGUAGAUGGGUGUAGGAAAGGUCUAAACACUACUUAAAUUAAGCUAGCUUCUGGUAAAAGUAUUAGUUUCUCUGCAAGUAACAGGUUGAUGCAUGGCAAUCAACUGCAUCAACAAACUCAAUUUUCAUUUCAACAAAAGAAAGAUACCGAACACUCCUGUAGACAGGACCAGCUGAAGGGUAAGUGUUAUAGCCCAAGCCCAACUAUCAAGACCCAAGCCCA
RNAcentral lists this long non-coding RNA (255 nucleotides) under Elaeis guineensis (African oil palm). RNAcentral describes it as "long non-coding RNA (EGUI_LNC071518)". The record is from RNAcentral. Lineage: Eukaryota; Viridiplantae; Streptophyta; Magnoliopsida; Arecales; Arecaceae.